CCCUUAGAUGUUCUGGGCUGCACGCGCGCUACACUGAUGCGAUCAACAAGUUUUUCCUAUGUCGAUAGACACGGGUAAUCUUUUGAACUCGCAUCGUGAUGGGGAUAGAUUAUUGUAAUUAUUAAUCUUCAACGAGGAAUUCCUAGUAGGUGCAAAUCAUCAGUUUGCAUCGAUUACGUCCCUGCCCUUUGUACACACCGCCCGUCGCUGCUACCGAUUGGUUGAUCUGGUGAAUUAUUCGGACUGCCGGCUGAAGGGGUUCCCUCAUCUGCCAGCGGAAAGUCUUGUUAACCCUAUCAACUAGAGGAAGCAGAAGUCGUAACA
This 324-nucleotide ribosomal RNA is filed under the name uncultured eukaryote. RNAcentral's name for it is "partial 18S ribosomal RNA". It matches the Rfam family "Eukaryotic small subunit ribosomal RNA", at positions 1470 to 1796 of the family's 1831-position model. The record is from RNAcentral.